RNAcentral lists this unclassified non-coding RNA (20 nucleotides) under Chlamydomonas reinhardtii. RNAcentral's name for it is "small RNA Cre_2145". The record is from RNAcentral. Lineage: Eukaryota; Viridiplantae; Chlorophyta; Chlorophyceae; Chlamydomonadales; Chlamydomonadaceae.
UAAGCUCUGCAGCAGCGGCG